This is a long non-coding RNA of Hibiscus syriacus, 718 nucleotides long. RefSeq lists it as uncharacterized. The record is from RefSeq and is a predicted model, not a curated record. Lineage: Eukaryota; Viridiplantae; Streptophyta; Magnoliopsida; Malvales; Malvaceae. The transcript has 3 exons.
CUCCAUUUCCACAAAAAGGGUUUCAUCGGUCCUUGAGAGACAAUCAAUAUUUCAAUCCUGCAAUUAUAUAUUCAUGGCUGAACAAACGGUGAUUGAAAACGGAGAGUUCGAGGAUUGGCGAGGUCAAAUGCAGAUCCUGUGAGGCAUGGCGGUGUUACUGCUGCAAGCAUUCCUGUGUGGUUGAGGUGUUAGAGAACAUGGUGUUCUUAUUCAACGCCACGAACUUCGUCGCCUAUUUGCUCAACUCAAUGCAUUACUCCGCCGCGGAAUCUACCAACAUGGUCACUAAUUGCAUGGGAAGCUCCUUUUUGCUGACGCUAUUUGGAGGUUUCAUCAGUGAUUCUUUCCUCACAAGAUUCAACACAUUCAUCAUCUUUUGCACUCUUGAGUUAUCGGUAUAUACUUUCGUUUAUGUUAAUGUUAUCAUUUUGAUGAUAAAAUUGAAGUAAAACCCGAAGGAAUUUUCUAUUCAGGGACUCGUCCUGCUGACAAUUCAAGCUAAAAAGAGCCGAUUGUUUCCGGCUAUAAACAGCAAGCCUUCGAAGACCCAAGAGGCAAUCCUUUAUGCCGGACUUUACGCGAUAGCUGCCGGUGUUCGUGGCGUUAAGGCUGCCUUGCCUGCUCAUGGUGCUGAUCAGCUUAACCACAGCAACCAGCGUCUUAUCUCUUCCUUCUUCAAUUGGUUCUUCUUUUCACUAUGUUUCGGUGGCCUCAUUGC